RNAcentral lists this long non-coding RNA (611 nucleotides) under Salvia miltiorrhiza (redroot sage). Its description in RNAcentral is "long non-coding RNA (SMIL_LNC002899)". The record is from RNAcentral. Lineage: Eukaryota; Viridiplantae; Streptophyta; Magnoliopsida; Lamiales; Lamiaceae.
CUGCUGCUAACAACUUUGCUAACCUCUAACCAUAUUGCUGACCCAGCCUAACAACUAACUAACUGCUGACUUAGCAUAACAGAAAUUGCAGUGUACAAAAUAGACUCUUAACAACGGAUCUGUCCUCCCUUUCUCUCUGGCAUCUCCGACAGCGCCGGACGGCCAAGGAUGGAGCGUCGCCGUCGCCGCUCGCCUCCCAAUCAUUCCUCUCUCGUGUUUUCGGCAACAGAUAUGUUCUCUCUCUCGCAUCUCCGACAGCGGACGACCAAGGAUGGAGCGCCGUCGUUGCCGCUCGCCUCAUCCCUCUCUCGCAUUUCCGGCAACGGACGGCCAAGGAGGAGCCGCCGCUGCAGAUCUGCUCAGGUUACGCCUCGCAUUUGGUUGGGGUGGGGCGCUCGUCGGAGAAGAAGUGGCGCCGGCAAGAUUUCCCUCUUCGACAGAUGAAUGUCGCCGAAAAAUUGAAGGAAUCUAGCCAGAGAAGAUGACAAAAAAAAAAUCGUUUAAAGGCGUUAAACCGUCGUUAAACUCGUGGAUUUAGUUGCACAUUUUUCUCGGAAGUUCAGGGAGGUAAAUGCGCCUUGACCGAGUAUGGGAACUCAACGCUCUAGGGG